Molecule: ribosomal RNA, 755 nt
Filed under: Verodes sparsus
Lineage: Eukaryota; Metazoa; Arthropoda; Insecta; Coleoptera; Zopheridae
Description: partial 16S ribosomal RNA
Rfam family: Bacterial large subunit ribosomal RNA (bases 1-564)
Source: RNAcentral
UUUGAGGUCUGACCUGCCCAAUGAUAGUUAUUAAAUGGCCGCAGUAUUUUGACUGUGCAAAGGUAGCAUAAUCAUUAGUUUUUUAAUUGAAAGCUGGAAUGAAUGGUUUGAUGAAAGAAGAUCUGUCUCAGGAUUAUUGAUUUAGAAAUUUAUUUUUUAGUUAAAAAGCUUAAAUGUUUUAAAAAGACGAGAAGACCCUAUAGAGUUUUAUAUUUGGUUAAUAAAAUUUUAUUGUGGAUUUUUAUUAGUUUUUAUUUAUUAAAUGUUUUGUUGGGGUGACGAAAAAAUUUAAUUAACUUUUUAUAGUAAGAACAUGAAUUAAUGAAUUUUUGAUCCUUUAUUUGGAUUAGUAGAUAAAACUACCUUAGGGAUAACAGCGUAAUUUUUUUUGAGAGUUCUUAUCGAAAAAAAAGAUUGCGACCUCGAUGUUGGAUUAAAAUUAAUUUUUGGUGCAGAAGCUAAAAAAUUGGGUCUGUUCGACCUUUAAAAUUUUACAUGAUCUGAGUUUAAACCGGCGUGAGCCAGGUUGGUUUCUAUCUUUUAGUAAAUUAGAUGUUUUAGUACGAAAGGACCAAACAUAAAAAUUAUAUUUUAGUUUUUGAAUUAUAUUGUUAUUUUGGCAGAUUAGUGCAAUAAAUUUAGAAUUUAUUAAUGUGAGUUGAUUACAAGUAACAUUGUUUUUUCGGGAUUUAUCAAUAGUUUUUGCUUCUAUAUUGAUUAUGGUUGUUUGUGUUUUGGUGGGGGUAGCUUUUUUA